CAGUAGCCACGGUAAUACCUAGGGUGCGAGCGUUAAUCGGAAUUACUGGGCGUAAGCGUGCGCAGGCGGUUGUGUAGGACAGGUGUGAAAGCCCCGGGCUUAACCUGGGAACUGCGCUUGUGGCUGCACAGCUAGAGUAUGGCAGAGGGGGGUGGAAUUCCACGUGUAGCAGUGAAAUGCGUAGAGAUGUGGAGGAACACCGAUGGCGAAGGCAGCCCCCUGGGCCAAUACUGACGCUCAUGCACGAAAGCGUGGGGGGCAAACAGGAUUAGAUACCCCCGUAGUCCCUGUCUCUUAUACA
RNAcentral lists this ribosomal RNA (301 nucleotides) under uncultured bacterium. RNAcentral's name for it is "partial 16S ribosomal RNA". It matches the Rfam family "Bacterial small subunit ribosomal RNA", at positions 509 to 808 of the family's 1533-position model. The record is from RNAcentral.